AGGCCCGUAGCACAAUUGGCUAGUGCACCGGUCUCCAAAACCGGGGGUUGGAGGUUCAAAUCCUCCCGGGCCUGCCA
This 77-nucleotide transfer RNA is filed under the name Elusimicrobia bacterium CG08_land_8_20_14_0_20_44_26. RNAcentral describes it as "tRNA-Trp". It matches the Rfam family "tRNA". Rfam says of the family: Transfer RNA (tRNA) molecules are approximately 80 nucleotides in length. Their secondary structure includes four short double-helical elements and three loops (D, anti-codon, and T loops). Further hydrogen bonds mediate the characteristic L-shaped molecular structure. tRNAs have two regions of fundamental functional importance: the anti-codon, which is responsible for specific mRNA codon recognition, and the 3' end, to which the tRNAs corresponding amino acid is attached (by aminoacyl-tRNA synthetases). tRNAs cope with the degeneracy of the genetic code in two manners: having more than one tRNA (with a specific anti-codon) for a particular amino acid; and 'wobble' base-pairing, i.e. permitting non-standard base-pairing at the 3rd anti-codon position. The record is from RNAcentral. Lineage: Bacteria; Pseudomonadati; Elusimicrobiota.